RNAcentral lists this ribosomal RNA (447 nucleotides) under uncultured bacterium. RNAcentral's name for it is "bacterial SSU rRNA". It matches the Rfam family "Bacterial small subunit ribosomal RNA", at positions 355 to 825 of the family's 1533-position model. The record is from RNAcentral.
UCGGGAAUUUUGCGCAAUGGACGAAAGUCUGACGCAGCAACGCCGCGUGAGGGAUGACGGCCUUCGGGUUGUAAACCUCUUUUGUCAGGGAAGAUGAUGACGGUACCUGACGAAUAAGUCACGGCUAACUACGUGCCAGCAGCCGCGGUAAUACGUAGGUGACGAGCGUUGUCCGGAUUUACUGGGCGUAAAGAGCUCGUAGGCGGUUUGUCGCGUCUGCUGUGAAAACUGGAGGCUCAACCUCCAGCCUGCAGUGGGUACGGGCAAACUAGAGUGCGGUAGGGGAGAUUGGAAUUCCUGGUGUAGCGGUGGAAUGCGCAGAUAUCAGGAGGAACACCGAUGGCGAAGGUAGAUCUCUGGGCCGUAACUGACGCUGAGGAGCGAAAGCAUGGGGAGCGAACAGGAUUAGAUACCCCUGUAGUCCCUGAGCGGGCUGGCAAGGCGCAU